AUGCUAGAUUAGAUUAGAUCUAAUUAAAAAAAAAUUUCAAUAUUACUUUGAUAUAAGGUUGUCCUGACAUAACGGUGGAACGUUAUGUUGUACGAUUGUCCUAGAACAAUGUUGAGACAAUAUAAAAAUUUUUAUUUUUACUUCAUACUUUAUUUAUAUUCAAAAUUUUUAAAAUUUUUGUAUGUAUACCGGUCACCAUGUGA
RNAcentral lists this long non-coding RNA (203 nucleotides) under Elaeis guineensis (African oil palm). Its description in RNAcentral is "long non-coding RNA (EGUI_LNC042924)". The record is from RNAcentral. Lineage: Eukaryota; Viridiplantae; Streptophyta; Magnoliopsida; Arecales; Arecaceae.